RNAcentral lists this ribosomal RNA (314 nucleotides) under Yamuy marginatus. RNAcentral's name for it is "partial 12S small subunit ribosomal RNA". Lineage: Eukaryota; Metazoa; Arthropoda; Insecta; Coleoptera; Cerasommatidiidae. The record is from RNAcentral.
UUAGUUAUUUUCUUGAAAAUUAAAAAAUUUGGCAGUAUUUUAAUCUUUUCAGAGGAACCUGUUCUAUAAUUGAUAAUCCACGAUUAAAUUAACUUAUUUUUAGUUUAUAUAUCGUUGUAGUUGAAUAUUUUAGUAGAAUAAUAAUAUUCAAUAAAUAAGAUUUUAAUUUAAAUCAAAUCAAGAUGUAGCGUAUAAAUAAGGAGAAAUGGGUUACAAUUAAGUUAUUAUUGGAUAUUAAUUUUUAAAAUUAAUUAAAAUUGGAUUUGAAAGUAAUUAUUUAUAUAUAUUUAUAAUGAUUUAGCUCUAAAAUAUGU